This 505-nucleotide ribosomal RNA is filed under the name uncultured bacterium. RNAcentral's name for it is "partial 16S ribosomal RNA". It matches the Rfam family "Bacterial small subunit ribosomal RNA", at positions 28 to 507 of the family's 1533-position model. The record is from RNAcentral.
GACGAACGCUGGCGGCGUGCCUAAUACAUGCAAGUAGAACGCACAGUUUAUACCGUAGCUUGCUACACCAUAGACUGUGAGUUGCGAACGGGUGAGUAACGCGUAGGUAACCUGCCUGGUAGCGGGGGAUAACUAUUGGAAACGAUAGCUAAUACCGCAUAAUAUUGAUUAUUGCAUGAUAAUUGAUUGAAAGAUGCUAUUGCAUCACUACCAGAUGGACCUGCGUUGUAUUAGCUAGUAGGUGAGGUAACGGCUCACCUAGGCGACGAUACAUAGCCGACCUGAGAGGGUGAUCGGCCACACUGGGACUGAGACACGGCCCAGACUCCUACGGGAGGCAGCAGGAGGGAAUCUUCGGCAAUGGACGAAAGUCUGACCGAGCAACGCCGCGGGAGUGAAGAAGGUUGUCGGAUCGUAAAGCUCUGUUGUAAGAGAGGAACGGGUGUGAGAGUGGAAAGUCCACACUGUGACGGUAUCUUACCAGAAAGGGACGGCUAACUACGUG